Fukomys damarensis (Damara mole-rat) is the source of this 533-nucleotide long non-coding RNA. RefSeq lists it as uncharacterized. The transcript is spliced from 3 exons. Lineage: Eukaryota; Metazoa; Chordata; Mammalia; Rodentia; Bathyergidae. The record is from RefSeq and is a predicted model, not a curated record.
CUACAACACUAUAGAUACACCAACACAAUAACCCCACAACUAAACUAAGAGAUUCUGAUGGCCAAAGAGGCAAAUAAGGGAUCUACCAAUUCCACAAAGGACAGAAAGGAGAAAUGAAACAAUAGAAGAAUGAAGAAUUCUGGCAGGUUCUUUCUAGCAAGCAGAGAGGCAACUGGAGAAGGAGGCUCUUCUUAAAAUUCACAACUAUGUUGUCCAGAAAUCGAUGUCAGUAAAUAGUAGGCACUAACAACGGUCAGAUGCAUUUUGGGAUGAAAUGUGGCUAAGGUACCAACGGCCCACAUAGGAAGAAAAUGCACACUCCAACUUGAGGCUUCAUGUGUACUGAACUGUGUAAGCAUCAGAAAAAAGACCACAGGAAACACAAGAUUUUACUUUGACCCAGGAAAGAUUCCCUAGGAUGAAUAUUUGUGAACCUGGAAAAGGGUGAAGAAAGAAUAUAUACUAACACCUCCAUGUGAUGUUUUUCCUACAUCCAGCUUUUUAACUGACACACACAAAAUAAAAUUUCUGUC